Molecule: long non-coding RNA, 1126 nt
Organism: Drosophila ananassae
Lineage: Eukaryota; Metazoa; Arthropoda; Insecta; Diptera; Drosophilidae
Exons: 3
Source: RefSeq, a predicted model, not a curated record
AGAAGAGUCCCGCGGGCAGUUGCAACAUUUUGCAUUGGCUUAAAAAUAGCACAGCAAAUUUCUUUCUUUUUUUUUGUUUGGUAUUUUUACGGGGCCAGACAGUGCAAAAACAAACAGAGAAAAUGCAUACAAUAAUUUAUUGAUAUGCCGGGCGAAAAAUAUUCAAUAACAAAAUGUUCUAUAUUUUUGUUUUUGUUUUUUAUUUAUCAAUUGCAGAGUGUUACCAGAUGCAAGAGCGUUAACAGAGAGAGAGAGUGAGAGAGAGAGAGAGGGUCACUAACAGAGAACCGCCCGGCAAACUAAAAGGGAAGACAACAAGUGAGCAAAGAAAACCAAACAAAAAAGCAAAUUGGAAUAAAUAUUGGAACUAUGAUAAGAUUUAAAUAAUUACACUAAUCACUACAGCGGAUAACUAGGGAAGGUAAAAAAAAAAAGGUAGCGUAACAGCUCGCCACAGUCUGUCUCUGUUUCACAUUUACGCGUAAUUACCUCGGAAAAUCGGGAAAGCCAAAAUGGCGGCGACGCCAUCAUCAUCGCCAUCGUCAUCGUCAUCGUCGCCAAGACAUCGUUAAAUUAAAUCUAUUGUCGACGCAUUCAAUGUGCAUAUAAAUCAUUUAUGGUCUUUCAGCCAAAUGCAACAGGAUCCAGAAGGAGGGAAUCGAGAGACGGCCACAAAUGCCGCAAUACAGCCCCCAAAAACCAGCCGGCAAAAACCACAGUAAAGACAUUAAAGUGCACACACACUCUACACACCCAACACACUCUCUCACACACAACCCUUCGAACAAAAGAUGAAGAAAACUGGGGCUCAGUCGCUGAGCAUUUCAUAAAAUUUGAUUACAGUGAAUGCGUAAAGUUUACGACCAAGCAAGGGGAAUUAACUCAAAGUGGCAACACACACACACAUAUGCGUCGGCGGCAUCUGCGGCUUUCCUUAACUCUACAUCAGGAUGCCAGAAAACCAGGAUACCGGGAUGCCAGGAUACAGGAUACAGGGCUAUCGGGAUAUCAGGGGAAUUGCCUCGCUGCCUCUACCUCGCUGCCCUCAAAGAAAUCCAUUAGACGGCAGAUGAAAAUGAUAAUAAUUUUGUUAUUAAAGCUGGAAAUGUUGAUUAUGAUUAGGAAU